This 6515-nucleotide long non-coding RNA is filed under the name Sus scrofa (pig). Its description in RNAcentral is "lncRNA (ENSSSCG00000056725.1)". The record is from RNAcentral. Lineage: Eukaryota; Metazoa; Chordata; Mammalia; Artiodactyla; Suidae.
UACCCCAGACUUAAUUCUGUUCCAUUUCACAAAUUAGUUUUUUCAAACCUAUUCAGGAAAGAAAGGGCUAGCUUUGGGCCCCUGUAACAGACCCCGCCCUGAUUUUAGCCAGGCCUGGGUGUUUGUCAGGAGAGUGGGAAAAGAUAGUGUCAUCACAGAUCCUUAACUGCCCAGACCAAAAAGCCCAUAGCAUCUUUACCUCCAGGAAUCUCUAGUGCUAAUGCCGGUUUAAGGAAGGACAAAGGCAAACCAGAAACAUCCUAUUAUUUUGUGGAGAUGGAUUUUUAUACAUCAAUUUAUAUUCAUUGAUUGGUCAUUCAUUUCAAUAUUGAGGCCCCCUCGGUGUCACAUUUGUGCUGGAUCUUGGCACAUGGCAGUGACUGUCUCAGUCUCGUGAGGAGACAUGAGUGAUUACAGGGCUGGGUGGGGUUCUGAGCACUGAGGAGAGUGUGGCACUGGGUAUCAUGGGGACAAAAGCUCCUGGGAACGAGGAGCUCUGUGUGGGAGGAGAAGGAGGGCCUCCUGGUGGUAGAAGUGCACCUAGGAAGACAUCGUGCUUGUGGGUGGGGAGAAUGGUGGCCAGGAGAGGAGUGAGCUGCCAGCACUCUCAGCGAGCAUGUCCUUUGGACACCACAAACUCAUCAGUCUGGCCAGAUCGGAGGGUACAGAUGUGAGAGGAGAGACAGGAGAUUCUAAAAUGGAACAGCAGUCCUAGAUCUGAAGAGCCUUGCCUGCCGGAGUAAUGAAGGUCCCCAGGAGAUGGAUUUGUUUUAGACUUUUACUUCUAUUUCAGCUUGACAGCAGCCUGCAAGUAUAUUCCCAUAUAACAGAUAAAAAUAAAACAUUAGAACAGCUGAGUAAUAAAAAUCAUGAGACUACAAUUUUGCUAUAAUGCAUUUAAAAUAGUCCCACACCAAAUUGGCUGAUUUGAUCAUUAUUUUCUUCCUCCACUAAUGUGCUCCAGCCACCUGCCUUGGAGCAAGGGCACCCCAACACCCCAAAACUGCAGUUUCCCCAGACUUCCCCUUGAGCACAGUUAAACAGACAAACGUGCUUCUAAUUGCCAGAGACACCUUUGUUCUCUCUACAAAGACACGCUCCUUCCAGCCCUUUGUGCUGUCAUCUCACUCUAUUAGACACUUUCUGUUGGGUGUGGAUUUUACCGUGAUGGGUUUCUUGAACAGGCCUUGCUGUUGCUUUUUAUCUGAAAGAAAGGGCUGCAAGAAUUCAAUGGAUUAUUUAUUAAAACAGCCCUGCUUUGAGAGAAUUUUCUUUUCUUUUGAGUGUUUAAUAACGGUUCUCCUCUUGGAUGCUCUCUGCAUAAAAGAAGUUAAACUAUUGAAGAAAUGAUUUAACCAUUUUAAAACUAAUACACUUUAGAAUUCUGAUUUGAGAUAAAGUAGAAUUUUAUUAACAAAGGGCAAAUCUCAUUUUCACCAAGUGGAAAUGUGUUCCUACUGGGAGGAUAAAACCAAGUCUGGGAAAAUGUGAAUCAGAUGGUUGGCAGCCUAAGGUGAAAUUAAUACAACACUCAAUGUCCUAUUCAUGACACCCAGAAGGCUUUACUUGCCCUCUGACUCCCCCUGAAAAAAACCUAAGAAGAUGCAGGGAAAGAUGUAAAAAUAAUGUGAAAAUAAUAUCCUUCAGAACGUGGCUUUUAGCCAGAUCUUUGUGUAAAUGAACACAUACCUCCACGUUAUUUAUUCGUAAUAUGUUAAGUUCAUUGGGCACAAGUGCCAUGUAGAGCAUCUCACAGGUGAUACUCCCUUUUCCUCAGAAGAGCUCAGGGGCAGGUGUAAUGGUUUUCCUCAUUUCACAAAGGGUCAGAGGAGCUGAGUCACUGUCGAGGUCAAAACAACUUGUGUCAUUGUUGAUAUACAGUUUGGUCCAUUUUUUUCAGACUGGUCCAUGGUUUGUUUAUUUGUUUUUACAGUGCUUUGUGGUUUCCUGAUAUCUUUAUUAAUUAUGUUGAUAAAAUUGUAGGAAUUACAUACCUCUAAUCAUCAGUCCUAAAAGGCCUGAUAGAGGUGGGAUUUUUAAAAAGUAUGACAGAGGUGGUUCAUUUAUUCAUUUAUUUUAUUUUAUUUUUACCACCGCACCUGUGGCAUACGGAUACAGAUUUGAUCCUCAGGCUAGGGGUGAAAUGAGAGCUGCAGCUGCCGGCCUACACCAUAGCCACAGCAACACAGGAUCCAAGCCACAUCUGAGAUUUACAUGUUAGCCUGUGUAACACCUGAUCCUUAACCUACUGAAGAGGAGCCAAGGAUCCAACCCGUGUCCUCAUGGAUACUAUGUUGGGUUCCUAACCCACUGAGCCACAAUUGUAACUCCUAAUGGAGCAUAUUUAAUAAAAGGCUUGAGUUUCUGCCACCACCUCUGCCACUAAUAAUGACGGUGCCAUGAAAACUGUAUGUUUAUUACAAACCAACGCAAAGUGCUAAUGUAGAAUUACAGCACUGAAAUAAUUAUGUAUAGUAAUUAUUAGGGUCAGAAAUUAUAUUUAUACUUAUGAUUUUAUAAUGUGUAAAUUUAUGAUUUGGGGGGAUUUUCUGUACAAUCAACUCUCCUUCAGGACGUUGGUACAGAUAACCACUUCUGUCAUUUUACAGAAGAUGGAGAGAAACAGGAGGAAAUUGAAGAAUAGCCACCUAGGAAAUUAUAGAGCUCCUGGAGAAUUACAGUUUCAUAAAAAGGAAAUAAAAAAGGGAGGGCAGUCAUUGUACUGUAUUCACUAUUGACCACAUCAGCUGGUUAUCUCCGGAGAGUGCUAAUUUUCUUUAUAUGGAUACUUUGAACAUCUGGACUAAAAUGAAUAAAGGUUUUUACUCUUCCUGUAGUCAACAUCUGGAUACAAUGUAUAUUUUUAGAAGGGUGCUGUUCACACAGAGACCGGUUGUGAAGACCUUUCCUGCUGUCAUUUCUGUGAACCUUAUGCUCAUGGUUGGGUAUCUAUAUUAGGUGACAGGAGUUAUUGGCUGAUCCUUUCAGCUCCCAUCCUGUGCUACCUGCCCACUUCUGCAUUACUCCAGUUGAUGAUUCAGUAUUCAUUUUUCCAUAAGUAGAAGCUGGCUUAGACAUGUCCAUGUUAUAUAUGUGUAUUCUUAACUUUAUCAGGACUUUUCUUGCUGCCAUUUGAAAAUGGCAGGCACUCUUUUGCCUCAGGGCCCUUGAACCUGCUGUUAUGUCUCCUUGGAUGUUCUUAUCUCACAGACUUGCAUCUUUAUUCUCUUCUUCAUCAACUUCAGGCAUCCUAUUUAAAGUGCACUCCCUAGCAGUCCUCUUUUCUCCUUUCCUUAGUUACUUCGUUCCACAGCAGUUACAUACCUCUUACGUAUUUUACACUUUACUUAUGCAUUUAUUCAUUAUCAGUUUACCAUCACUAAAUGCAAACUCCAUGAAUGUAGGAAUUUUUGUUGGUUUUAUUCACCACUCUGUCUCCAACAUUGGGAACGAUGCCUAGCAUAACAAGGGUUCAGUAAAACUUGUUGAAUAUAUUAUAAAUAAGUAUGUAUUAUGAAUAUAAAAACCAAAAUUACAUAUAUACUCAUUAGAAUGUAAUUUCCAUGAGGGCAAGAACUGAGUUUUGUUCAUCAUAUGGUCCCUGGUGCCCUGAAGAGAACCUGAUACGUAAUAGACAUUCAGUAUACCUUUAUGGAUUAGAUAGAUCAGAGCUCAUUAAUAAAAUGAUUGAAAAUAGUACAGGGUUUUAAAGCAGGGAUGAAAAGAGGGAGGGGAGAAGGAAAGAACAAGAAAGAGAAUGUGUAAGUAUUAGUAUUUCAGCGCUUACUUUCAUUUUGCAUUGGUUUUACCGUGAUUAUAUGUUGUUUAUUAGCUUAAAGCUACCAAUUAAAAUAAAAUUUGCAGUUCUGUUAAGAACAGAAAAUAAAAUUGUGAAUAAAUAUAGCUUAUCAUGAAAACUCAUAUAGACUCCCUGUCAACUAGCCCCCCCCCCCUUUUGUAUUGGUCAGUCUAAAGUGAGGUGCAAUUAAUGGUGUAUGUCUUUUAAAUCUUGGCUGACUAAUCAUAUUCUCCUGUCUAUACAUGUAUUGGAGUCAUAUGUAAUCCUACAGCCAUUUACUCAGCAGAGAAAAUGAGAAAGAUUACUGUUGCCAGGUUUAUUUUUUGUAGACCCAGGAACAAAACAGACACUUCAGCUCUACCGUGAACCAACCAUCAUCUACUUGGGAGGGUGCAGCAGAGGGGAAAAAUGUAAGAUGAAUUAUAAUGAUGAACAGUACACUAGCAUUUGAAGUGCCUGUUUAUUACAAAAAUGGGAAAGCUUCAAAGUUAUUCUUUCUGCUGGCCAGGAACCAGAGCUAAACAGAGAGGAAAAUUGCCUUUGAUUGAAACAUGUGGCCAGCAGCCACUGGAGUAUGUUCUAAAAGCAGAAAUAGGUAUUCUAAGAUACAGAGAAUCACUGUUUGACCCAGCAUUAUUUUUACAUAUAUUAAGGCACAUUUCUUAACAUGGAGAAACAUUAACAAUGCUAUGUAUUUUUAAAAGUUGGAACUUAGAUGCUUAGAUGUUUAAGUAAUCAAAAGUAUUCAGAUAUAAGACAAUACAUGGUAGAAAUUAAUGCCUGAAAAGUAUAGUUGAAUCAAAAAAGGGAGGGGACUUAUGUUAAGCUUAGUCAACAAAUAAUUAGCUUGAAGUAGGAAUCUUGGUCAGUCUAGGGAAAAAUGGGCAGUUAGACCCAUUCCAGACUUCGGAUAAGGUCUCUCUGGUUCAUUCGUUAUAUUGUUGUGAAAAUAAUCACGACAACUAACCCCCAGCCUAUUUUUAAGGGAGGCGUUUACUUCCUGACUCCUUGAUGAGGGCUUGGGCAUCUGCUUUUCUUCGGUCAGUGAAAUGUAAGUGAAAAUGACAUAACGCUUAAAUGACAAAAGCUUAAAGACCCAUGGUGAUAUUCUGCCAUCUCUCUUUUCACUCUACCACAAUAUCAGGAUGCUCCAGACAGGAAACAGAUGAAAGGAGCAUGUGGUAUAUUCAUAGGCAGUUCUUGGGGCAUCAAUGUGAGUCCGAAUCAAGCUCCACUUUUGCAGGCCAGUAAUAUGGGGAGUGUCCUGUUAUUGGUACACAAAUUAGCCUAAGCUGACUGAUACUGUCUCAUAUCUGUGAAGAGCAUUGAGAAAAGAGUCUGGUCUUCCCAGAGAACAUUCUCAAAGCAAUGGUGUCAUGACUUUGAGAACAACAGAGUUCUAAGAAGUCAAAGUUUCUCCAAGUGUGGCAACACAAAAUAAUCACCCAGGAGUUCCCAGGCCUCAUCCCAGAAUUAGUGAAUUGGAAUCGCUGAAGGUAGGGCUUGGGUAUCUGCAUUAUCACAGACUCCUUUGAUGACCCUUAUUAUAUAAACCCAAAUGUGAGACCUGCUGGCCAAGAUGUUGACCUAAGACUAAAGAGCUAGAGCGGAGAGGGGGUAAAUAAGACCUUAGAAAACUUGUCUGCACAGGUCUUGAGAUUUGGCUUGGCUCUGCCACUCACUAGCUUUGGGAUCCUGAGCUGGCCAGUUUAGUUCCCUCCUUGGAUUUCUCAUGACUUCCAUGGUUUUGAUGACAGCCAGUCCCACUAACUUUCCAAGCUAUUGUGAUAAAAUAACGGGAAAAUGCUUUGUAAACUGAAAAACAUUUCACAUAUCAAGAUGUUGGGGUCUUAUCAAGCUGUCUGUUGUGAGGGGGAAGGGAGGCUUUUCUCCAGUGACUUCUGAGACCAUGUAUUGAAUCAAGAUGGAAAACAACAGCAUAGCAUUAAAAAGCAGACGCAGCGUAGUCAAUCCUAACUUUAUUUCGCUCUUUUAAUAACAAGUAGGAAAAUGAAUUAGGGAUUAUUCAUGUUUAAGAGGAGGCUUAAUGUCUAGAGCCCAUCAAGUUUAAGCUGCAGAACUGAGAAGACAGAUACAGCCUGCUAUACCAGUUGAGAAUCCCAGAUACUUGGAGAAGCCAAGAAGGGAGAACCUGCCAAGUUGUUCUUAGACGACUCAAUAAAGGAAGGGUGAGAGCUCCUCAGUUCCUCCCCAUCCGUGCUAACUAGGGCAUCUCUUGAAUGCUCAUCAGAUGCGCAGGGUGUGCUAAGCACCCUAACUGAUGCUUCACAGUAACACCAAGAGAGAGGCAUUUGGGGUUACUGGUGCAGAAAAAGAACCUAAAGCUUGGCAAGGUAGCGUUUUGUUUUGUUGUCUAAAGAAACCCCUCUGAUAAAUGAAAGGGGCUCAAUUGUUACCAUAUUUUUGCCUGACUUCAGAGUUUUCUCUCUCAGUAACUGUGGUUAGUUUCUUUCCACAAAACAGAUACAGUUAUUGCUGGUGAAAAGAUGAUACAGACCUGUAUUGAUUUUAUAACCAGCAGAAAAUAUGUGAUAUUUGAAACCAAUGAAAGUCACCCCUCAAAUGCCAGGACAUUCUACCUAGCUAGAAUAAACUAGAAAGUAUAAUAUAAUACAUUGUAAAAAUCAAGUAACUCAUAAAAGCAUCUUCUUCCUUUGCAUUAAAAAUAAUAAGUGCCCAAAUGAGUAGACAACCU